GAUGAACGCUAGCUACAGGCUUAACACAUGCAAGUCGAGGGGAAACGACAUCGAAAGCUUGCUUUUGAUGGGCGUCGACCGGCGCACGGGUGAGUAACGCGUAUCCAACCUGCCCACCACUUGGGGAUAACCUUGCGAAAGUAAGACUAAUACCCAAUGAUAUCUCUAGAAGACAUCCGAAAGAGAUUAAAGAUUUAUCGGUGAUGGAUGGGGAUGCGUCUGAUUAGCUUGUUGGCGGGGUACAGGCCCACCAAGGCCACGAUCAGUAGGGGUUCUGAGAGGAAGGGCCCCGACAUUGGAACUGAGACACGGUCCAAGCUCCUACGGGAGGCAGCAGUGAGGAAUAUUGGUCAAUGGGCGAGAGCCUGAACCAGCCAAGUAGCGUGCAGGAUGACGGCCCUAUGGGUUGUAAACUGCUUUUAUAAGGGAAUAAAGUGAGCCUCGUGAGGCUUUUUGCAUGUACCUUAUGAAUAAGGACCGGCUAAUUCCGUGCCAGCAGCCGCAGUAA
Molecule: ribosomal RNA, 508 nt
Filed under: uncultured bacterium
Lineage: Bacteria
Description: partial 16S ribosomal RNA
Rfam family: Bacterial small subunit ribosomal RNA
Source: RNAcentral